Molecule: ribosomal RNA, 725 nt
Filed under: uncultured bacterium
Lineage: Bacteria
Description: bacterial SSU rRNA
Rfam family: Bacterial small subunit ribosomal RNA
Source: RNAcentral
AGUCGAGGGGCAGCGGUGGUGAAGGCUUGCCUUUACCAGCCGGCGACCGGCGCACGGGUGAGUAACACGUAUGCAACCUGCCUGCCACAGCCGGAUAAUCGGGAGAAAUCCCGUCUAAUACGGCAUAAUGCACCUAUGGGACAUCCUGUUGGUGCCAAAGGUUAAUUCCGGUGGCGGAUGGGCAUGCGUCGCAUUAGUUAGUUGGCGGUGUAACGGACCACCAAGACGACGAUGCGUAGGGGUUCUGAGAGGAAGGUCCCCCACACUGGUACUGAGACACGGACCAGACUCCUACGGGAGGCAGCAGUGAGGAAUAUUGGUCAAUGGGCGGGAGCCUGAACCAGCCGAGUCGCGUGAGGGAUGACGGCCCUAUGGGUUGUAAACCUCUUUUGCCGGGGAGCAAAGUGCCGCACGUGUGCGGUUUGGAGAGUACCCGGAGAAAAAGCAUCGGCUAACUCCGUGCCAGCAGCCGCGGUAAUACGGAGGAUGCGAGCGUUAUCCGGAUUUAUUGGGUUUAAAGGGUGCGUAGGCGGACGCUUAAGUCAGCGGUAAAAUUGCGGGGCUCAACCUCGUCGAGCCGUUGAAACUGGGUGUCUUGAGUGGGCGAGAAGUACGCGGAAUGCGUGGUGUAGCGGUGAAAUGCAUAGAUAUCACGCAGAACUCCGAUUGCGAAGGCAGCGUACCGGCGCCCAACUGACGCUGAAGCACGAAGGCGUGGGUAUCGA